This 2881-nucleotide ribosomal RNA is filed under the name Burkholderia multivorans. Its description in RNAcentral is "23S ribosomal RNA". It matches the Rfam family "Bacterial large subunit ribosomal RNA". The record is from RNAcentral. Lineage: Bacteria; Pseudomonadati; Pseudomonadota; Betaproteobacteria; Burkholderiales; Burkholderiaceae.
GGUCAAGCGAACAAGUGCAUGUGGUGGAUGCCUUGGCGAUCACAGGCGAUGAAGGACGCGGUAGCCUGCGAAAAGCCCCGGGGAGCUGGCAAACAAGCUUUGAUCCGGGGAUGUCCGAAUGGGGAAACCCACUCCUUUUGGAGUAUCCAUGACUGAAUACAUAGGUCAUGUGAAGCGAACGCGGUGAACUGAAACAUCUAAGUAACCGCAGGAAAAGAAAUCAACCGAGAUUCCCAAAGUAGUGGCGAGCGAAAUGGGAUGAGCCCUGUACUCUUUAUUUGUAUUGUUAGCCGAACGCUCUGGAAAGUGCGGCCAUAGCAGGUGAUAGCCCUGUAGGCGAAAACAGUAUGAAAGAACUAGGUGUACGACAAGUAGGGCGGGACACGUGAAAUCCUGUCUGAAGAUGGGGGGACCAUCCUCCAAGGCUAAAUACUCGUGAUCGACCGAUAGUGAACCAGUACCGUGAGGGAAAGGCGAAAAGAACCCCGGGAGGGGAGUGAAAUAGAUCCUGAAACCGCAUGCAUACAAACAGUCGGAGCCUCGUAAGGGGUGACGGCGUACCUUUUGUAUAAUGGGUCAGCGACUUACGUUCAGUAGCAAGCUUAACCGUAUAGGGCAGGCGUAGCGAAAGCGAGUCCGAAUAGGGCGUUCAGUUGCUGGGCGUAGACCCGAAACCAGGUGAUCUAUCCAUGGCCAGGAUGAAGGUGCGGUAACACGUACUGGAGGUCCGAACCCACUAACGUUGAAAAGUUAGGGGAUGAGCUGUGGAUAGGGGUGAAAGGCUAAACAAACCUGGAAAUAGCUGGUUCUCUCCGAAAACUAUUUAGGUAGUGCCUCGUGUCUCACCUUCGGGGGUAGAGCACUGUCAUGGUUGGGGGGUCUAUUGCAGAUUACCCCGCCAUAGCAAACUCCGAAUACCGAAGAGUGCAAUCACGGGAGACAGACAUCGGGUGCUAACGUCCGGUGUCAAGAGGGAAACAACCCAGACCGCCAGCUAAGGUCCCCAAAUAUGGCUAAGUGGGAAACGAAGUGGGAAGGCUAAAACAGUCAGGAGGUUGGCUUAGAAGCAGCCACCCUUUAAAGAAAGCGUAAUAGCUCACUGAUCGAGUCGUCCUGCGCGGAAGAUGUAACGGGGCUAAGCCAUAUACCGAAGCUGCGGAUGCGUGCUUGCACGCAUGGUAGGAGAGCGUUCCGUAAGCCUGCGAAGGUGCCUUGUAAAGGGUGCUGGAGGUAUCGGAAGUGCGAAUGCUGACAUGAGUAGCGAUAAAGGGGGUGAAAGGCCCCCUCGCCGUAAGCCCAAGGUUUCCUACGCAACGUUCAUCGGCGUAGGGUGAGUCGGCCCCUAAGGCGAGGCAGAAAUGCGUAGCUGAUGGGAAGCAGGUCAAUAUUCCUGCACCAUUGUUAGAUGCGAUGGGGGGACGGAUCGCGGAAGGUUGUCCGGGUGUUGGACGUCCCGGUCGCUGCAUUGGAGAAGGCGCUUAGGCAAAUCCGGGCGCAGGAUUCAAGGGUGUGGCGCGAGCGACUUCGGUCGCGAAGCAAUUGGAAGUGGUUCCAAGAAAAGCCUCUAAGCUUCAGUCUAACGAUGACCGUACCGCAAACCGACACAGGUGGGCGAGAUGAGUAUUCUAAGGCGCUUGAGAGAACUCGGGAGAAGGAACUCGGCAAAUUGGUACCGUAACUUCGGGAUAAGGUACGCCCUUGUAGCUUGACUGGCCUGCGCCAGGAGGGUGAAGGGGUUGCAAUAAACUGGUGGCUGCGACUGUUUAAUAAAAACACAGCACUCUGCAAACACGAAAGUGGACGUAUAGGGUGUGACGCCUGCCCGGUGCCGGAAGAUUAAAUGAUGGGGUGCAAGCUCUUGAUUGAAGUCCCGGUAAACGGCGGCCGUAACUAUAACGGUCCUAAGGUAGCGAAAUUCCUUGUCGGGUAAGUUCCGACCUGCACGAAUGGCGUAACGAUGGCCACACUGUCUCCUCCCGAGACUCAGCGAAGUUGAAGUGUUUGUGAUGAUGCAAUCUACCCGCGGCUAGACGGAAAGACCCCAUGAACCUUUACUGUAGCUUUGCAUUGGACUUUGAACCGAUCUGUGUAGGAUAGGUGGGAGGCUAUGAAACCGGAACGCUAGUUUCGGUGGAGCCGUCCUUGAAAUACCACCCUGGUUUGUUUGAGGUUCUAACCUUGGCCCGUGAUCCGGGUCGGGGACAGUGCAUGGUAGGCAGUUUGACUGGGGCGGUCUCCUCCCAAAGGGUAACGGAGGAGUACGAAGGUACGCUAGGUACGGUCGGAAAUCGUGCUGAUAGUGCAAUGGCAUAAGCGUGCUUAACUGCGAGACCGACAAGUCGAGCAGGUGCGAAAGCAGGUCAUAGUGAUCCGGUGGUUCUGUAUGGAAGGGCCAUCGCUCAACGGAUAAAAGGUACUCUGGGGAUAACAGGCUGAUACCGCCCAAGAGUUCAUAUCGACGGCGGUGUUUGGCACCUCGAUGUCGGCUCAUCUCAUCCUGGGGCUGUAGCCGGUCCCAAGGGUAUGGCUGUUCGCCAUUUAAAGAGGUACGUGAGCUGGGUUUAAAACGUCGUGAGACAGUUUGGUCCCUAUCUGCCGUGGGCGUUGGAUAUUUGAAGGGGGCUGCUCCUAGUACGAGAGGACCGGAGUGGACGAACCUCUGGUGUACCGGUUGUGACGCCAGUCGCAUCGCCGGGUAGCUAUGUUCGGAAGAGAUAACCGCUGAAAGCAUCUAAGCGGGAAACUCGCCUUAAGAUGAGAUAUCCCUGGAGGCUUGACCUCCUUGAAGGGUCGUUCGAGACCAGGACGUUGAUAGGUCGGGUGUGUAAGCGCAGUAAUGCGUUCAGCUAACCGAUACUAAUUGCCCGUAAGGCUUGAUCCU